RNAcentral lists this ribosomal RNA (594 nucleotides) under uncultured bacterium. RNAcentral describes it as "bacterial SSU rRNA". It matches the Rfam family "Bacterial small subunit ribosomal RNA", at positions 338 to 960 of the family's 1533-position model. The record is from RNAcentral.
CCUACGGGAGGCAGCAGUAGGGAAUUUUCCGCAAUGGGCGAAAGCCUGACGGAGCAAUACCGCGUGAGGGAUGACGGCCUGUGGGUUGUAAACCUCUUUUCUCAAGGAAGAAGUUCUGACGGUACUUGAGGAAUAAGCAUCGGCUAACUCUGUGCCAGCAGCCGCGGUAAUACAGAGGAUGCAAGCGUUAUCCGGAAUCACUGGGCAUAAAGCGUCUGUAGGUUGUUUAGUAAGUCUGCUGUUAAAGACUGGGGCUUAACCCCAGAAAAGCAGUGGAAACUGCUAGACUCGAGUGUGGUAGAGGUAGAGGGAAUUCCUAGUGUAGCGGUGAAAUGCGUAGAUAUUAGGAAGAACACCAAUGGCGAAGGCACUCUACUGGGCCAUAACUGACACUGAGAGACGACAGCUAGGGGAGCAAACGGGAUUAGAUACCCCGGUAGUCCUAGCCGUAAACGAUGGAUACUAGAUGUUGCACGUAUUAACCCGUGCAGUAUCGUAGCUAAGGCGUUAAGUAUCCCGCCUGGGAAGUACGCUCGCAAGAGUGAAACUUAAGGAAUUGACGGCUGAGACGNGCGACGACGACGACGAGGAGAG